This 433-nucleotide ribosomal RNA is filed under the name uncultured bacterium. RNAcentral's name for it is "partial 16S ribosomal RNA". It matches the Rfam family "Bacterial small subunit ribosomal RNA", at positions 29 to 507 of the family's 1533-position model. The record is from RNAcentral.
AACGAACGCUGGCGGCAUGCCUAACACAUGCAAGUCGAACGAGACCUUCGGGUCUAGUGGCGCACGGGUGCGUAACGCGUGGGAACCUGCCCUUAGGUUCGGAAUAACUCCCCGAAAGGGGUGCUAAUACCGGAUAAUGUCUUCGGACCAAAGAUUUAUCGCCUUUGGAUGGGCCCGCGUUGGAUUAGCUAGUUGGUAGGGUAAAAGCCUACCAAGGCGACGAUCCAUAGCUGGUCUGAGAGGAUGAUCAGCCACACUGGGACUGAGACACGGCCCAGACUCCUACGGGAGGUAGCAGUGGGGAAUAUUGGACAAUGGGCGAAAGCCUGAUCCAGCAAUGCCGCGUGAGUGAAGAAGGCCUUAGGGUUGUAAAGCUCUUUUACCCGGGAUGAUAAUGACAGUACCGGGAGAAUAAGCUCCGGCUAACUCCGUG